Cinara cedri is the source of this 846-nucleotide non-coding RNA. Lineage: Eukaryota; Metazoa; Arthropoda; Insecta; Hemiptera; Aphididae. The record is from the annotation of a GenBank genome assembly.
AUAAUUGACAAUUAUUUACUAUAAUUGUUAUAGAUUAAAACAGAAAUAAAUCCGAAGAAAAUGAUCAUAAUGAGGAAGAAUUAGACAUAGAAGAAAAAGAAUAUUUGGGGGAAGAAGAUGACGGAUCAGAACUCUGUGGAGGUAAAUCUCCAACAGCGUCAUCGUUUGGUAAAUAUUAUGAAUUUGUUUACUUUAAAUUGGUUUUAUUUUUUUUGUUAUGUAAAGGUUUUAUAUAGAUUUUAAAAAAAGUGACGAAUUUUCAUAUGUAGACGAAAGUAUAACUACUAUGGACUAUAAUUAAUUGUUUUAUAGUUUGUACAAUUCAGUGCUACAUUUACUCAGUAACUCUUGUUUGAUAGAAAUGUUUUUCAAGAUGGCAUUUUUUUUUUCAAUAUAUGUUUGAUGUGGUGUAAAACCAAAGCUUUUUUAUACCAAAUGAUUAAGAUUGUUGAUUUCUUUUUAGAUUUAAAAUAUGAUAUUUUUAAUAAUUGUUUUGUGUACAUUUUAUUAAGUCUAUAAAACAUUUUUGACUAGAAUAAAUAUUAUAAACUUGAUUACCUAUUGAUUUAUGUUCAAAAAAAAAAAAAAGAAAGAUAUUUUAAGUGGUCAUAUUCGUCAAAUAAUGGCGAAUGCAUUUUUUUUAUCUACAUUUUUCUCAUUACACCAUUGGAUCGAAAUUAGUAUCAUAAACAUUUUGAGUACAUUGAAAAUAUUCGUCACUACCAAUGAAGUGAUUAAAUGUUCAAUAAUUUAUUUAUUUAUUGAAAUUAAAUUCUAAAAUAAUAAUAAUCAUUUAAGUAAAUAUUAAAUAAUUAGUAAUAGAAUUAAAUCACUUAUGAUUAUGAA